UUCUCCCGCCGACCUUACAUCCUAGAUUGCGAUGGCAACGAUUGUCGCCAUGUUAUAAAAUAUUCCACCUUUAAUCAUGUUAUUCUUCCCUUACGUUAACCUGAGUUAUAGUUAUCCUUAAUGUAAGGCCGGCUGACCAGGUUACUGAUCACAGAGAGUUAUUCUCCCGCCGACCUUACAUCAUAGAUUGCAGUAGCAACGAUU
This 204-nucleotide long non-coding RNA is filed under the name Neodiprion pinetum (white pine sawfly). RNAcentral describes it as "uncharacterized LOC124221420". Lineage: Eukaryota; Metazoa; Arthropoda; Insecta; Hymenoptera; Diprionidae. The record is from RNAcentral.